GAGGGGUAUUCUAGCAAUAGAAGAGACCGGCGCACGGGUGCGUAACGCGUAUGCAACCUACCUUUUACAGGGGAAUAGCCCAGAGAAAUUUGGAUUAAUGCCCCAUGGUAUAAUUUAAUGGCAUCAUUUAAUUAUUAAAGUUCCAACGGUAAAAGAUGGGCAUGCGUCCUAUUAGCUAGAUGGUAAGGUAACGGCUUACCAUGGCUACGAUAGGUAGGGGUCCUGAGAGGGAGAUCCCCCACACUGGUACUGAGACACGGACCAGACUCCUACGGGAGGCAGCAGUGAGGAAUAUUGGACAAUGGGCGCAAGCCUGAUCCAGCCAUGCCGCGUGCAGGAAGACGCAUCUAUGGUGUGUAAACUGCUUUUGUACGGGAAGAAACACUCCCUCGUGAGGGAGCUUGACGGUACCGUAAGAAUAAGGAUCGGCUAACUCCGUGCCAGCAGCCGCGGUAAUACGGAGGAUCCAAGCGUUAUCCGGAAUCAUUGGGUUUAAAGGGUCCGUAGGCGGUUUGAUAAGUCAGUGGUGAAAGCCCAUCGCUCAACGGUGGAACGGCCAUUGAUACUGUUAGACUUGAAUUACAAGGAAGUAACUAGAAUAUGUAGUGUAGCGGUGAAAUGCUUAGAUAUUACAUGGAAUACCAAUUGCGAAGGCAGGUUACUACUUGUGGAUUGACGCUGAUGGACGAAAGCGUGGGGAGCGAACAGGAUUAGAUACCCUGGUAGUCCACGCCGUAAACGAUGGAUACUAGCUGUUCGGAGCAAUCUGA
RNAcentral lists this ribosomal RNA (770 nucleotides) under uncultured Bacteroidota bacterium. RNAcentral's name for it is "bacterial SSU rRNA". It matches the Rfam family "Bacterial small subunit ribosomal RNA", at positions 64 to 842 of the family's 1533-position model. Lineage: Bacteria; Pseudomonadati; Bacteroidota. The record is from RNAcentral.